Molecule: long non-coding RNA, 1404 nt
Organism: Pyrus x bretschneideri (Chinese white pear)
Lineage: Eukaryota; Viridiplantae; Streptophyta; Magnoliopsida; Rosales; Rosaceae
Exons: 3
Source: RefSeq, a predicted model, not a curated record
CUUCAUGUUCUCUUGAAUCUCUUCUUCUCUGCAAAGCUCCAGCACGUGCUUCUCUUCUCAGUUCUCCCUAAAAAAGUCAUUAAUAAUUCGUAACUUCCUUUCUACUCGUCGGUUUGAUGAACGAUUUUUGCCUAUGGAUUUAGUGAGUCAAGCCGAACAAGUUUAGUGUUCUUGACUUCAAUCGAGAUUAAGGAGCAGUUUGGAGGAAUUCAAAGAUAAGUCAUGCCGCCUCGACAUCGUACAACUGGUUUAUUUGUAGAGGGCGCUAUCCCCGAUACUAAGCAACUCAUUAUUGCCAUAGCCCGCGCAUGUGGUCUAACUCCAUAUGAGGUAAUUGUUGCCAUAAGCCAGGCAGCCUAGGCAUGUGGUCUUACUCUACCUGAGAUAGCCCGGAGUCUUGGAGCCUAGAAUUUAGAUGGUGAUGGUGGUGGAGAACAAGCCGAAGGAUGGAUUGAGCAGAUGGAGCUAAUUCUUGACUCCAUGAGUUGCCCACUGGAGAAACGGGUUAUGACAGUGACCUUUUUCCUCACAGGCAGUGCAUGAGUAUGGUGGACUUCAUAAAAGUAAACCCUACCUAGGAACACGCCAAUUACUUGGGAGGUGUUCAAAGAAAAAAUUAAUGCGAGGUUUUUCACUCUUGAGUACAAGACCCGAAAAGAAAUGAGUUUUUAUAUCUGCAGCAGGGGAAUAUGAGUGUGACAGAAUAUGAGAGGAAAUUCAUAGAACUCUCAAAAUAUUGUAUUGCCAUAGCAAACAACUCGGUUGAGAUGUUGGCCCAGUUCUAUAUUGGUCUCAACAGGUACAUUAGGAGCAUAACCUCUUCAUAUGUUUACCAACUUACCAGGAAGAGUUCCAAGUGGCCCUGAGCAUUGAGCAAUCUUUUAGCAAAGAACCAAGUGAAGGAAGUAAUGUAGGUUUUGAGCCCAAGUGACAGAGGGGCCAAUUUCCUGUGGGUGGCUUGAAAUAGCAACCGUCAUUCAAAAGAAGUGGUCAGAGUUAUGGUUCCUCUAGCAGAGGUUUUAAAUCUGGUACCCCUCAAUCAGGAGGGCGAUCAUCAGGGAGUUCUUGUUUCUCACGCAGUGUACAAUCAGACAGUUACGGUAGAGUUGACUACCCUCUUUGUCGGCCUUGUAACCGACCUCGUGAGGGAGAAUGCAGGCAGGGCACCACUCAGUGCUUCAUUUGUAGACAAACUAGUCAUUUUCAAAAAGAGUGUCUGUUUGCAUAGCAGGAUGAAAGAAUGGCAUCAGUGAUUUCCUAGCUUACAGGUGCAUGGGAUGCGUCAUGUUAGCUUAAACUAGUGCAUGCUAUAUGUUUUUCAAAAUGGGGGUUAAGUUAACAUCUUUCAAGUGUCUCACCCCCAUGACCUAGUAGUUCGUGUGUAUGUCGAGGCAUUUCUAGCAA